CCGCCUCACUUCCGCUUCCGGCCCCGCCUCUUCCGCUUUGGCUCUGUGUCUGAUAGCGUCGUCGGUGCCGCCAUCGCCGUAAAUAUUCGUAUCGUCCGCGUUGCUUUUGAUAAGCCUAUGUGUGCAACCAGGUGGUGAUUAUGUCAUCUGCUGAGAUGAGGAAGAGGCCUCACUUGUCCAGGGCAGCAGCUUGACUUCACGUUGCCUGUCAUUGGCGCAGCAUGGCUUCUGCUCACCGCAAUACAACUAGCCAUUUUUUACUCUUGGGGUGAGUGUGUGUGCCUUACAGCCUGAAACCCACUUCCUGAGAUGAGCCCCAGUAUGCUUGCUCGCAGACCUGGGCCACUUCCGUUUCUCUUGGUUGGGCCUAGCUCCCUCAUCUACCCUUUCCAGUACCUUUUCUGUCCUCAGAUCUGGGAAGCCAGGGCCCCUGCCCUGGACUGUGUACUUGAGAGGACCUUACUCUGGCUCUCCUCCAGCUACACUCUGCAGAACGAAGAGACCACAAGGCCAAGAAUUUAAGCUCCACAAGAACAGAAGUUUUGGUAUAUUUUGUUCACCGAGGAUUCCCAAGCCUGUAGAACAGUGCUGGCACACAGUAGGUGCCCAAUAAAUAUUUUUGGAAUAAAUGAAA
Molecule: non-coding RNA, 634 nt
Organism: Equus caballus (horse)
Lineage: Eukaryota; Metazoa; Chordata; Mammalia; Perissodactyla; Equidae
Source: RefSeq, a predicted model, not a curated record